This 536-nucleotide long non-coding RNA is filed under the name Mytilus galloprovincialis (Mediterranean mussel). The record is from RNAcentral. Lineage: Eukaryota; Metazoa; Mollusca; Bivalvia; Mytilida; Mytilidae.
CAGAAUAGUAGUUGAAUCAACUUAAAUCAUUGUUUUAUACAAUAUACAAUGUAUAUUCACUUUUUCUACCAACUGAUAAAUUAAAACAAUCUUUACCAUUCAGUGAUAACAACCACUUUAUUUUACAUUUUAAUAUUUUAUGAUGUAUUUAAAUGAGUAGUUAUUGUUGCAAACUCCAUUAGAAAUUUGAAUUGAGAUCAGUUUUGGAAAAAGGGAAAGGGGAUGUGAAAACAAAUGGGGGGGGGGUUAAAUUUUUCUCAUUUCAGAUUUCAUAAAUGAAAAGAAAAUUUCUUCAAACAUUUUUUUGAGAGGAUUAAUAUUCAACAGCAUAGUGAAUUGCUCAAAGGCAAAAAAAAUAUUUUAAGUUCAUUAGACCACAUUCAUUCUGUGUCAGAAACCUAUGCUGUGUCAACUAUUUAAUCACAAUCCAAAUUUAGAGCUGAAUCCAGCUUGAAUGUUGUGUCCAUACUUGCCCCAACUGUUCAGGGUUCAACCUCUGCGGUCGUAUAAAGCUGCGCCCUGCGGAGCAUCUGGUU